RNAcentral lists this ribosomal RNA (262 nucleotides) under uncultured archaeon. RNAcentral's name for it is "partial 16S ribosomal RNA". It matches the Rfam family "Archaeal small subunit ribosomal RNA", at positions 748 to 1008 of the family's 1478-position model. The record is from RNAcentral.
AGGGUGUAAACGCUGCAGACUUGGUGUUGGAAGCCCUUUGGGGGCAUUCAGUGCCGGAGAGAAGUUGUUAAGUCUGCUACUUGGGGAGUACGUCCCGCAAGGAUGAAACUUAAAGGAAUUGGCGGGGGAGCACCGCAACGGGAGGAGCGUGCGGUUUAAUUGGAUUCAACACCGUAAAACUCACCAGGGAAGACUGUUACAUGAAAGCCGAGAUGAAGACUCUGCUAGAUUUUCAGAGAGGUGGUGCAUGGCGUCAGUGACU